UGAGGAAUAUUGGUCAAUGGGCGGGAGCCUGAACCAGCCAAGCCGCGUGAUGGAGGAAGGCGCUAAGCGUCGUAAACAUCUUUUGCCGGGGAACAAAGGCAGCCACGUGUGGCUGAAUGAGUGUACCCGGAGAAAAAGCAUCGGCUAACUCCGUGCCAGCAGCCGCGGUAAUACGGAGGAUGCGAGCGUUAUCCGGAUUUAUUGGGUUUAAAGGGUGCGCAGGCGGGCAGUUAAGUCAGCGGUAAAAGCCCGGGGCUCAACCCCGGCGAGCCGUUGAAACUGGUUGUCUUGAGUUGGAGAGAAGUAUGCGGAAUGCGCGGUGUAGCGGUGAAAUGCAUAGAUAUCGCGCAGAACUCCGAUUGCGAAGGCAGCAUACCGGCUCCAUACUGACGCUGAGGCA
Molecule: ribosomal RNA, 400 nt
Filed under: uncultured bacterium
Lineage: Bacteria
Description: bacterial SSU rRNA
Rfam family: Bacterial small subunit ribosomal RNA
Source: RNAcentral